GACGAACGCUGGCGGCGUGCUUAAUGCAUGCAAGUCGAACGAGGUCCAUCCCCUGGCAACAGGGGUGAAGACCUAGUGGCGAACGGGUGAGUAACACGUGAGCAACCUGCCCCGAACUCUGGGAUAACCGGGGGAAACCCUGGCUAAUACCAGAUGCCCCCACCGGGCCGCAUGACCCGGUGAGGAAAGAAUUUCGGUUCGGGAGGGGCUCGCGUCCUAUCAGCUUGUUGGUGAGGUAACGGCUCACCAAGGCGUCGACGGGUAGCUGGUCUGAGAGGACGAUCAGCCACACUGGGACUGAGACACGGCCCAGACUUCUACGGAGGGCAGCAGCAGGGAAUCUUGCGCAAUGGGCGAAAGCCUGACGCAGCAACGCCGCGUGGGGGAUGAAGGCUCUUGGGUUGUAAACCCCUUUCAGCAGGGACGAAACUGACGGUACCUGCAGAAGAAGCCCCGGCCAACUACGUGCCAGCAGCCGCGGUAAGACGUAGGGGGCGAGCGUGUCCGGAUC
RNAcentral lists this ribosomal RNA (511 nucleotides) under uncultured bacterium. RNAcentral's name for it is "bacterial SSU rRNA". It matches the Rfam family "Bacterial small subunit ribosomal RNA", at positions 28 to 551 of the family's 1533-position model. The record is from RNAcentral.